CCCCAAAAGGAGACUUUGACUGGGAGAGCGAGGACAGAAGUGCUGGCUGGAGGGAAGAGGCUGCCCUGGGCACCCCUGCUAGGAGAGAAGCCCACCCUCUCCCAGAUCCUGCAGUCUGUGUGGAUGCCCAGGAGAGCUGACUGGCUGCUGCGGCACUGGCCUGGGACCCUAUGACCUGGAGGAACAGAGGCCUGAAUCCUAUGGGGAGUAAUGAACAGGAAAGCGGGUGCAGUAUGAAGGAGAGGAGGGCAGUGACAGCACAGGAGGAUCGUCAGGAGCAGAAGGAAAGGUGUUUGGGACCUUGCGGGGUAGGGAGCCGGGGGUGGGGGUGGAGGGAGGAAGGCCUUGUGGCGCUGAGCUGAUCUCUCCCCCUGUGGAAGAACUGUUGCCAUGACAACACAGAGAGCCAGAUCGAUGCUUGGCAUUGCUGGAUGGAGCGCUCAGUCACUGCCAGCUCCCCUCCUCUCUCUCCUGAAGUGGGGCACGCAGCGAGGGGGAGAAAGAGUCCCAACGGAGAUCAUCGCAAGGCUUGGGUCCAGAUUCCUUCAAGGCAUCCUCUUCACGUGUGGAGAACUGCAGCAGAAAAACAGGUGUUCUCUGAACUUCCUUCCAGCUGCGAAAGCAACGCCCUUCCCCCAGCAGCCUUAGGGUGGGGUCCCUUUUGGUAUAAUGGCUGGGGUUCGACCCCAUGGAAUCCCUCCUGCCUCAAACGUCUCCCCACUGGCCAUUCAAAACCAUCCAAACGUCCCCAUAAGGGCUCCUUCUUCGAGCUUCUUGUAAAAAUACAAAUGUCCAAGGCAGGACAAUGUGUUGACAUCUUAUCCAGGUGACAGGCCAGAGGCUGCACAGUUAACAGGCCUGGGGUGGAAUGUGACUCCUCU
RNAcentral lists this long non-coding RNA (881 nucleotides) under Fukomys damarensis (Damara mole-rat). RNAcentral describes it as "lncRNA (ENSFDAG00000022660.1)". Lineage: Eukaryota; Metazoa; Chordata; Mammalia; Rodentia; Bathyergidae. The record is from RNAcentral.